CAACUUUCAACAACGGAUCUCUUGGUUCUGGCAUCGAUGAAGAACGCAGCGAAAUGCGAUAAGUAGUGUGAAUUGCAGAAUUCAAUGAAUCAUCGAAUCUUUGAACGCACAUUGCGCCCCUUGGUAUUCCAUGGGGCAUGCCUGUUCGAGCGUCAUUU
Molecule: ribosomal RNA, 158 nt
Filed under: Pyrenochaeta sp.
Lineage: Eukaryota; Fungi; Ascomycota; Dothideomycetes; Pleosporales; Cucurbitariaceae
Description: 5.8S ribosomal RNA
Rfam family: 5.8S ribosomal RNA
About the family: 5.8S ribosomal RNA (5.8S rRNA) is a component of the large subunit of the eukaryotic ribosome.
Source: RNAcentral